This 292-nucleotide ribosomal RNA is filed under the name uncultured bacterium. RNAcentral's name for it is "partial 16S ribosomal RNA". It matches the Rfam family "Bacterial small subunit ribosomal RNA", at positions 505 to 796 of the family's 1533-position model. The record is from RNAcentral.
GUGCCAGCAGCCGCGGUAAUACGUAGGGUCCAAGCGUUAUCCGGAAUCACUGGGCGUAAAGCGUGCGUAGGUGGCGUGUUAAGUGUGAUGUUAAAUCGUGUGGCUCAACCAUAUCGAUGUGUCGCAUACUGGCAUGCUAGAGGGAAGCAGAGGCAAGUGGAAUUUGUAGUGUAGCAGUGAAAUGCGUAGAUAUUACAAGGAACACCAAUGGCGAAGGCAGCUUGCUGGGCUUCUUCUGACACUGAGGUACGAAAGCGUGGGGAGCGAACAGGAUUAGAUACCCUGGUAGUCC